UACGUCUGCACUGCAACCGCGCGCAUGCAUGCAUACACACGUCGCCAUGCAUAUGCAUCCUAGCUACGCUAGCUCUGUAUAUCCGGCAAGCUCUUCUUGAGCUUUAGCCAGGUUUGGCAUGUCAUUUGCUGUUUUGGGCAUGACAUGACCGUCACGGGUUCGUCUACCUAGCUAUAGCUCUACUACACGACGGCACAUGCAAACAGCUGGCUAGAUUCUUCUCCCAGAUUAUGGGAGAAAUGGUGAUGACCAGAAUCUUAUCAAAAUGGCGCGCAAAGGCUGAACCUGCAGCAAAACGUUAAUGCACCUGCUAAUUCCGGGCUGAAACUGCAUUCAUGCUCUAAAAAGGACAAUUCAUCUCAUCCGUAAGAUCGAGCUUCCAUCGAGAUACUGCACAGUUGACCAAACUGCACAUGCACAUGGUGCCUGAGUGAUGCCAUGAUCUAGCUAGCUCUCAUAUUUAUGUAAGCAAUCAUUGAAUAGUAUAUUCAUGGAUUGAACAAGCACACGGUUGUUUAUUCUUUCUGCAUCAACCAUCAACAUGCAUGCCACCGAACUCAUUAGAAAAUGCGGGAGAAAGGGUUUCCAAAGGGCAGGUGGUCACACUGGUAAUGUUAAUUGAAGAUAAGAACGUGCCCCUGGAUAGAAAAGAGCUCCAUCAAAGUCUCAAGUGGAAAGGAGAAAAUUCCAAGUGCAUAAUUGCAUAAAGAAAUCUAAUCUGUGGCGGCUUUUCCUUAAAGCGAUAAGGUGGAGUCUAUCAGCGAUUAUUGCUACGACUGAAAGGCUGGAAUUACGCUAGGUCUGUGUUUUCUUUUUCUCUCUUCAAGAGAGACAGACGUCCGUCGUUUGGCUUUUGAGUAGUUUGACUUUGAUACGUGCAUAAAAGUUUACAGCAACAACGAAUGAGUCAUCCAGAUCGUCAGCUUUCUUUCUUUUUUCCAUUUCAAAGCUCUGAAAAAACACUAUAGAUACAGUGUUUUACCACACAUGAUAUAUAUCGCUAAAUUAAGACAGGGUCCAGUUAAUAUCAUCGUAUUCGUACAUGCAUUAAGAUACUGUAAGAAAUUCGCUGUAAUUUAUCGAACCCAACUUAGUUUCCUGAUCAACUUUUCUAGAACAAAAUCUCAGAUCGAUUUCAUCUAAGGAUUCUAGAUUGAAACGUGUUUUCAUCGAGUCGUUUAAGUCAAUUGGUAGAUAUCUGAUUCUAUGUGGCAAGCAACAAAUUGUUACCGCUAAGACAGUACGAGGAGCCCAGAUUUUUGUUGCUGUCUUUUUUGUUGUUGCUGUCAACGUUAUACGUCACGCUCCUGGUGUGGUGAAGAGCUUUGAUGCUGAUUGCAACCCGCAACUAUGUGUGGUACUAACCAGACAGCAUAUAUAGGAAUCGUCAGAUAUAUAUCAUCAAUAUAUGCUUGAAAUCUCGAUUUCUCGCAAGAGAACGGGACUGCUAAAAUGAGACGCCAGGUACGUAUUAUAUACGACCAUCAUAAAUUAUACUCCGUACUUUGCCAAAAAAAAAUAGACACUCACCGAUGGUUAUAGCAAGCAGCAUGUGCUUUGGGCAGAGAAUACCGGAUCAGGACCGCAGAUUAGGGAGCAACUGCCCCUCUUCAAUUGAUGAUCCGUUUCCAAUAAUAUAGGAAGCGGUGGGCCCAUUGAUCGGUCGGUAAGGGGUAAAGGCGGUAAUGCGCACAGAUAGGGAAGAUUCUUUGAAGGGCCCCUGCGUGUAGUCCUGGUGGGUGUGGCUCUUCCGCAUGCAAACGACUCCGCGUGAGAGAAAACUUCCAUCGUCGUAUCAGCAAUCUAGCAUCUGGAUUUAACGCACCUGACAUGCGUUCAGCAGAGACAGCUCUUUCUCUAGUUUAUUUCCAAGUGUCCUUCGAUCUGGUAGCCGGCAAUCGCCAAGCAGUACUACUUGGGCAGGAGACAUUUUAAAUGUCCAACCUGGCUGUCAGAAGAAAUGACCAGGAGCAUCAUCUUCUGAUACGCUUUGACUUCCUAAAAUAGCGAUAAUUGCAUGACGCGGUAUUCCAUGGUUUCAUGCAUGGUUAAUUAGCUUCCCUUUUUUACCAAAAGAUUAAUUAGCUUCCUUUGUUCAACCUUUUGCCUUAUUUGAUUUAUAUUUUCACUAACUUCAUACUAAAACAGACCAACCCAUAGCUAGAUAUGCUAGCUACCCUAUGCAAAAGGAUAAGAUAAGCUCCAGUCACCCUCAACUCACAGGCUUAAUCUGACCAACAUACUGUACAAAUAAAAAGAAAGAGGGGGCUAGCUCUUGCCAUUCUGAUCGGUCAUUUGGCCACAAAACCAGCCCCAUCCUCCAUUGCUAAUUCUCCUUGUCUUUUUUUCCGCUCACCUCAUUCCACGUGCCAUGUUUGCUAGUA
Molecule: long non-coding RNA, 2384 nt
Filed under: Brachypodium distachyon (stiff brome)
Lineage: Eukaryota; Viridiplantae; Streptophyta; Magnoliopsida; Poales; Poaceae
Description: long non-coding RNA (BDIS_LNC002532)
Source: RNAcentral